CCGAGUUUACAACUCCCAAACCCCUGUGAACAUACCACUUGUUGCCUCGGCGGAUCAGCCCGCUCCCGGUAAAACGGGACGGCCCGCCAGAGGACCCCUAAACUCUGUUUCUAUAUGUAACUUCUGAGUAAAACCAUAAGUAAAUCA
RNAcentral lists this unclassified non-coding RNA (147 nucleotides) under soil metagenome. RNAcentral describes it as "partial internal transcribed spacer 1". The record is from RNAcentral.